AGAGAGAGACAUGCGCGCAUAUCAAUAAGCGGAGGAAAAGAAACUAACUAGGAUUCCCUCAGUAACGGCGAGUGAAGCGGGAAGAGCUCAAAUUUGAAAUCUUCAAGGUUCUACCUUGACGAAUUGUAGUUUAAAGAAGUGUUUUCUGUUGGAGUUUUGGUAAAAGUUCUUUGGAAUAGGACAUCAUAGAGGGUGAGAAUCCCGUAUUUGACCAUUAUUUCCAGCUUUGUGAUACACUUUCAAAGAGUCGGAUUGUUUGGGAAUGCAGUCCAAAAUGGGUGGUAAAUUUCAUCUAAAGCUAAAUAUUGGCGAGAGACCGAUAGCGAACAAGUACCGUGAGGGAAAGAUGAAAAGAACUUUGAAAAGGAGAGUUAAACAGUACGUGAAAUUGUCAAAAGGGAAGCGUUUGACACCAGUGUUGUUUUCUCGAAAAUCAAUUAAAAAAGGCAGGAUUUUGUGUUGUAUUGACUUUAUCAGCUUUCUGCACUCUUUUCUUGUCUUUUUUAAUGCACUUUUCGUUUAACAAGUCAACAUCCAAUUCCUUUUGUUGUAAAAGGGUCAUUGGAAGGUGGCUUUCUUUUCGGAGAAAGUGUUUAUAGCCUUUGGCCUCUGCAAUCGGAGAGACUUGAGGUCUGCAGCGUAGAUCCUUCGGGGUUAGAUACAUUUGUGCUAAGUUAUAGCCUUUCAUAGACAACUUGUUGACUAUGAUCAGUCAUGUAGCUUACUCGCUUAUGCUAUUUUACCUACGCUUAGGAUGUUGAUGUGAUACUGCGAGCA
Molecule: ribosomal RNA, 777 nt
Filed under: uncultured Neocallimastigales
Lineage: Eukaryota; Fungi; Neocallimastigomycota; Neocallimastigomycetes; Neocallimastigales
Description: partial large subunit ribosomal RNA
Rfam family: Eukaryotic large subunit ribosomal RNA
Source: RNAcentral